ACGGGUGAGUAACACGUAUCCAACCUGCCGUCUACUCUUGGCCAGCCUUCUGAAAGGAAGAUUAAUCCAGGAUGGCAUCAUGAGUCCGCAUGUUCACAUGAUUAAAGGUAUUCCGGUAGACGAUGGGGAUGCGUUCCAUUAGAUAGUAGGCGGGGUAACGGCCCACCUAGUCUUCGAUGGAUAGGGGUUCUGAGAGGAAGGUCCCCCACAUUGGAACUGAGACACGGUCCAA
This 232-nucleotide ribosomal RNA is filed under the name uncultured bacterium. RNAcentral describes it as "partial 16S ribosomal RNA". It matches the Rfam family "Bacterial small subunit ribosomal RNA", at positions 102 to 334 of the family's 1533-position model. The record is from RNAcentral.